Molecule: long non-coding RNA, 5597 nt
Organism: Eriocheir sinensis (Chinese mitten crab)
Lineage: Eukaryota; Metazoa; Arthropoda; Malacostraca; Decapoda; Varunidae
Exons: 2
Source: RefSeq, a predicted model, not a curated record
CCAAAUUGAGUUUCGUGAAAUUUAAUCUGUCUUCAUGUUCACGCUCUAAUUGUACCCCUCACCCUAAUUUGAUUCCACUCUCGUCCACUCCCUGCCCACUCACUCCUUUCUUUAGUUUAUUCCAGUUCCUUUAAUUUAUUCCAAUUCCUCUCUGGCCGCUGACUCCUUUAGUUUUCCAAGUUUUUUUUAUUUUUUUUAUAUUCCCACCUACUUCCCGUUAUUUUUUUCUAUGUGUUUUUUUCUUUUCAGUGUCUCGUUUUCGGUUUCAUUCAUUCCAUCUCAUUGUAUUUCGGUUGUUCUUCUUUUCUAACAUAAUACUCGUCACCCACUCAUCCAUCCGCUAUUUACACAAUCCUUUUCAUCCGAACACAUCUGUAUCCUAUAUCCAAUUCUUUACGUCAUCCAUUUUCCACGUUAGUUCGAAUCCACAUCGCACAUUCAUUCACCCUUCAUCCAAUCUCUAUCCACCUAUCACCCACACACUCACUCAGUCACAUCACAUCUCAUCCAGAACACGCCUCUUCAUCCACGCAUACACACAUCUCUACUCUGUUACUCAUCCAUUUCCACACAGCAUCCAAUCUCCACUUUUGAACUUUGCCACACCUCCACAAACAAUUACCUGCACUUCACCCACGCAUUCCCGCACAUCCAACCUCUCUCUCUGCACCUCCACGCCUCCACCUCUUCCCCGGCACACUCGCAUUCGCCACUCACUCCCGAGGAAACGAGACGGCAAGACUUCAAACGACGGAGAGUAUGAGAACAAUUAUUGAACUAUUCCGCAGACAGAGAGAGCUCGGCGACCCGGCGGCCGUCAACCCUCUGCUGUGGUGUAAUCGAUUGAAGAGCAAGAGAGGCCGCGACGGGACGAGGAUGAUGAAUGGCAAAGGCAAAGAGAGGGAAGGAAAGGCCGCAGAGGGAGAGAAACGGCGUAGAAAAGUAAGAAGGGAUAGCAAAAGAGGGGUCUGGAGACUACGAAUAAACAGAGUUGAUGAAUGGCAGAGGCAAAGAAAGGGAAGGAAAGGCCGCAGAGGGAGAGAAACGGCGCAGAAAGAGAAAGGUAAGAAGGGACGGCAGAAGGAAAGGAUAAGUGAAAGAGGAGGAUAAGAUAAAGCUUGAAGGUGAGCGGAUGAAGAAAGAGGUUCGCAGAUGGGCAAGUCUAUGGUGGAAGAAGAGAACGAGGUGGAGAAAAGAGGCAAAAUAAAGAGGAGAGGAAGAGGGAUCGAAAAGGGACAAAGAAGGUGAGUGAAAGAGAAUGAUAGAUCACAGGAGAAGGAAGGUAACUGAAGGAGGAGAGAGAACAUACUUAGGUGGUACUUGAUUACAUGAUUUCAAGUAAUUAAUGAACACGUGACCUGACCCCAUUAGGAAGGUGACGAGCAUAACAAGAUAAUACACAAGGUCAUCACUUCUGGACGUGUAUGGAUCAAGACAAUUAUUACAGGUGUUCUGAUCAGUUCAAAUCGGAUAGAGAAAAAAGAUACAGUAAGAGCAAUUGAAACUAAGCAGUAAAAUAAACAAACUGAAAAUAGACGACCACUGCACGAAGGAUUAACUUAGUAAUGUGGGAUGACUUAGAUAAUUAGUUCUUCCGUGUUCUAGUCGGUGUGCAAAUCAGGUAAAAAAAAUAUAUACUGAAAGGUCAUUAUAAGCCAUUAAGUAGUAAAACAUACACACUCAAAAUUAGCGAACAUUAAACGAGGAAUUCAUUUCGUAAUAAGUGUUAAUCUAGAUAAUUAUCGCUUAAGUGUUCUCGUAAACGCAAAUCAGUUAAAAAAAAAACACCUCCAUUUGUAGGAGAGCAAUCAUAUCUCCGGGCAUAAAAAUAAGCUAAGAAACAUUGCACAAGGGCUUCAUUAACUUGUAUGUCUGCAUCUCGAUACGUCUCGCAUUCAAGAUCCAAUCAGCACAAAUCGGAGAAAAAUGACGCAAUGGUUAGCGGGAAAAUCAAGAAAUCACACAAAACAAAAAAGCAACGACACUUCAAACGAGUAAAUCCUCUCGCACCUCUCGCAAUUCAAUAAACACACAUCGAAAAAAAAAUGACACAACAGCGAUGCCUUCCUUUCUUUUCCCCUUUCAUUUCCUCUUUUCUCGUUCACCUAGUUUUGUUCUUUUUUUUGUCCCUUUUCAGCCUUUACUUUUUUUGUGUGUGGUCUGGUUUGCUAUCUGGGUACCUUGUUUUCUUCAUUUUUCUCUCCUAUCUUCUUCCUUCCUCUCCCUUCCUCAUCCCUUCGCACUUCACGCAUUCAACAAACACACACAUCGUACCAUAAUAAAAUAACGCAAGUGUGAGCGGCCGAGUCAUCAAAUCAGACGAAAGAACAACCCGACGACUGUAAAACGAAUUCAUCCCUUCGCACUCGACUUUCCCCCUAACGAAUCAGAUAUAACGCAAUUUAUCGAAGUGCUCCCCGCGGCUCUGGCAAUCACGAAAAUGAUCAACAUAUUUCGCUAACGUCCUCUCUCUUUCUUCCCUCCCUUUGCUCCUCCUCUCCACUACACUGCAAUAUACGAGAAAGAUAUAUAUAUACAAAUAGCUGAAAACAUGUGAAUAAGUGGGAAUAGAGAGGAGGUUUUCUAGAUCAACUUAUAUCUCUUCCUUCCCUCCAACAUUCCCUCCCUCCCCUCCUCGACCUCACUGCAAUACACGAGGGAAAAAUGAAUAAAAAAUAAAUACAAAAAAAAAUGAAUACACGCGAACACAAGUGGGAUUAGAGAGGUUUUUUUCCGCUUAUUCACGUGCGGGUAAGAGGCGCUGCACCGACACACUCAGGUGAUAGAAAAAGCGGCUUUCCACCUGAGUUCACCUGAGAGAGAAAAGCAAAUCGAUUCGUCAUCCUUCUGAGCGACUUUAGCGAGAAACGAGGUGAAUGGCGUGACCUAUUAAGGGGAGAGAGAGAGAGAGAGAGAGAGAGAGAGAGAGAGAGAGAGAGAGAGAGAGAGAGAGAGAGAGAGAGAGAGAGAGAGAGAGAGAGAUAAUAACCCAUUUCCUCCUCUUUCCUCCCUUUCAUCCUUGUCCUGUUUGUCAUCCUCUUUACUCGUCUUCGUCUUCCUCCUCCUCCUCCUCCUCCUCUUUUCUCCCCGCUUCUCUCUUCUUCGACCUUCUCUUCCCAUUUCUUCCUCUCUUCUCUCCCUCCUCUCUUCUGACACAGUCUUCUUCCCGCUUCUCUCUUCUUCCUUCACCUUCUUCUCUUCCCUCCUCUUCUUUUUUUCCUCUUUCUCCUCCUCUCUUCUGGCAUAGUCUCCUCCACCCUUCUUUUCUCUCCUUCUUUUCUUCCUCUUCCUCCUCCUCUUUCUCUCUCCUAGCAUAGUCUCCUCCCUACCUCCCUCUCUCCUCACUCUCGACCUUCUCUUCCUAUUUCUUCCUUUCUUCCUCUCCCUUCUCCUCUCUCUCCUACCGCUGUCUCUUUUCUCUUUCGACCUUCUCUUUCCACUUCUUCCUUCGUCAUUUUCCGAUCAGUUUCCUCUCCGCUGCCAUCUCCCAGUUAAUCCUAUCCCUUCACUCCUUCAACUUUUCCACAACACAGCUUCUCCUCUCCUUUCCUCUCCCCUCCUCUCAAUAUCCUUUCCUCUCCUGGCUCAUCUCCGAUUACCUCGCUUCCAGGAACUUUGGGAACCCAAAUUUUGGCUGUAAUUACCUUAGGGUUUCAAUCAUCGUGUUUUGACCCGGGUAAAAAUAACACCACACCAAUACCUUACAGCCUCGGCAAGCCACUGCUGAAUAGACUGAACAGGUGUUUCUAUAUACUGACAAAAGGUUAAUUAGAUCACCUCACCUCGUAACCACCUUUCAAGUGACAGCAUUUACAGAGACAAAGGAGGAUGGAGCAAGGGAGGAUGGAGCGAGUCAGAUCUUCUAUGUGUGUUAAAGCAAGCUAUUCCGACCUUCUGCCACCUCCGACCCUCCUUCCAAGUUUCAUCAGCUUUUACGUAAACAAAAAUCCAGUUACCAAGUGAGGAUGGAGUGAAUCAGACCCUCUAUGUCUGUAAAAGCAAGCUAAUCCAAACCUCUCCCACCUCCUACCCGCCUACCCAAGUCUCUUCAGCCAUUACCGAAGCAAGAAUUCAAUUAUCUCAUUAAACCCGAGGCACUGUAAGAGCUUGCUGGGGAUCCUUUCACCGCUUGAGACUGAGGGAAGGAUUAGGGCAGUCACGCAUUUACAAGAGGAACCAAUCUUCCCGUCUCUUCAGCCACUACAAAAACAAGGCAUCGGUUAUCCUAUUUUUCAUCGCUUGAGAGUCGGGGAAGAUUAGGAAAUUCACGCAUUUACAAGAGGUUGAUUUAAUGAGUCUAACACCCGCCAACCAAUCUUCCCGUCUCUUCAGCCACAAGAAAAACAAGACAUCGGUUAUCCUGUGUUUCAUCGCUUGAGACCGGGGGAAGAUCAGGGUAUUCAUGCAUUUACAGCAGGUGUAUUUCUUGCCUUUAACACCCGCCUACCAACCUUCCCACAGACUUUAGUUACCUUAGAAACAAGAAUUCAAUUAUCUCAUUAAACUCGAGACAUUGUUGGGAGCUUCUGCGGAUCCUUUCAUCUUGGGACUAGGGGAGAGAUUAGGGCAUUGAUGCAUUUACAACUGGUUUAUGUAUCGCCUCUUAAUUUUUUUUUUUAUAUAGGAAUGGAAGCAGCUCAAGGGCAAUAAAUAAAAACAGGAACAAAAAGGCCCACUAGACGCUGAUCCAACAAAGAAAAAAAAGAACGGGGUCAAAAGAGAGGCUAAUUUUCACACCUACGAACCUUCCCCCGUCUCUUCAAUUACUAUAGAAGCGAGAAAGCCUCUCAUUCUAUUAUUUCUCGGGCUCUAAAGCUGUCUGGCAAUAACCGGUUGGCGCCAAGUUGAAUAUAAUCAAUACUCGUAAACUGAUUCACCAAUUGCGUUAAUCCUUUGAAUCUUCCGCCAGCUGCUCAGGGGAUGCGCCGUGUCCAGUGAGAAUCUGUCCAGUAGCCAGUCAGUCAGAUGGUUAGUCAAUCAGUUGGCCAGUCACUUAAAAAAAUAGCCAGUCAGUCAAACAUCCAGCCAGUAGGUCAGCCAGUCGGUCAACCAAUCAGUUAAUCAGUCAGUUAGUUAGCCAAUUAGUCAAACAUUCAUUCAGUCACUCAACCAUUCAGCCAGUCAGUCAGAUAGUUUUCCAAUCAUUCAUUCAGUCAGUCACCUAGUUAUCCAAGCAAAUAGUCAGUCAAUCAGUUAAUCAACCAACCAGUUAGCCAUGUAGUCAGUUAAUCAGUCAGUCAGUCCACCAGUUAUCAAAGCAGCCAGUCAGUCAAUAAGUCAAUCCACCAACGAGUUAGCUAUUUAGUCAGUUAUUCAGUCAGUCAACCACUUAAACAAUCAACCAGUCAGCCAGUCAGUCGGUCAGUCCACCCAACACCAUUUAGUCUGCGAGCGAGGGAGCAAAAGUUUCCAUAAAGAACGAGGUGGCGAGCGUGUGGAUGAGGAGAGCAAAGUGGAUGAGUUAAUGGAGUGGUGCCGCUGAUGUGAGGCCUGACACGAAGGAGUGGAUGAUGGGGGCGGUGGUGAUGGCAGUGAUGGGAAGGGAGAAAACGGCGUGAAGGAGGAAAGAAGAGGGAGGACGUGAACCAGAAAAAGAG